Oryctolagus cuniculus (rabbit) is the source of this 523-nucleotide non-coding RNA. The record is from RefSeq and is a predicted model, not a curated record. NCBI's taxonomy places the organism in Eukaryota, Metazoa, Chordata, Mammalia, Lagomorpha, Leporidae.
CACAUCCAUCACGAGAAUGCUGGAGACAGAAUCUUGAGUGCUGUAGUCACAAAACGACUGAGUUUCCAGGAGAGAAACCUGGGUAGCAGGAGGUGAGGGCGAUGGACAGCUGACAUGAUGAUAGAAGCAGGGGCAGUGAUGCUCAGUCGUGCCCCAGAGAGACAGGAAGCCAUCAGCGUGGACUGGGAAAUCCCAUCGCCCCUUUCAUCAGCUUUGAAGGCAUUUGUCACGGACAGGGCAACUCAUUCAGUUAGACCUACAGCAAACAGCAAUCACCUGCUCGGCUCCAGCCGUCAGACAUAGUCUUCGAUCUGUUCUCCUAAAUCUGCAGCUUGAUGGAACACACCCUGGUUCAUCACCUGUGCCAACAUGUAACACUCCACAAUCAAAAGAGAAUUGUUGCCUCACCCACUGAGCACACCACACGGCUUUUUAACUACAGGAGACAAUUUUGCUGUCUUAAAAAGAAAUGUGUCCCCUUCUAGAAGCCUACAGCUAUUGCUACACCAUUAAAAUAAGUUCA